CAAAUAUUUUCUUCGUCCGGAAAUACUUGUCAUCAAAAUGGAUAAAAAGAGAUGUAUCUAUAUAUAUUUUAGACUCAAAGAUAGAAAAUUUUAGUUGUAAAUACAUCAUUUUUUAUCCAUUUUGAUGAUAAGUAUUUUCGAACGGAGGAAGUAGUAA
Triticum aestivum (bread wheat) is the source of this 157-nucleotide non-coding RNA. Lineage: Eukaryota; Viridiplantae; Streptophyta; Magnoliopsida; Poales; Poaceae. The record is from Rfam.